AUUGAACGCUGGCGGCAUGCCUUACACAUGCAAGUCGAACGGCAGCACGGGUGCUUGCACCUGGUGGCGAGUGGCGAACGGGUGAGUAAUACAUCGGAACAUGUCCUGUAGUGGGGGAUAGCCCGGCGAAAGCCGGAUUAAUACCGCAUACGAACUACGGAUGAAAGCGGGGGACCUUCGGGCCUCGCGCUAUAGGGUUGGCCGAUGGCUGAUUAGCUAGUUGGUGGGGUAAAGGCCUACCAAGGCGACGAUCAGUAGCUGGUCUGAGAGGGCGACCAGCCACACUGGGACUGAGACACGGCCCAGACUCCUACGGGAGGCAGCAGUGGGGAAUUUUGGACAAUGGGCGAAAGCCUGAUCCAGCAAUGCCGCGUGUGUGAAGAAGGCCUUCGGGUUGUAAAGCACUUUUGUCCGGAAAGAAAUCCUUGGCCCUAAUACGGUCGGGGGAUGACGGUACCGGAAGAAUAAGCACCGGCUAACUACGUG
Molecule: ribosomal RNA, 486 nt
Filed under: uncultured bacterium
Lineage: Bacteria
Description: partial 16S ribosomal RNA
Rfam family: Bacterial small subunit ribosomal RNA
Source: RNAcentral